UAGUCCACGCCGUAAACGAUGGAUACUAGGUGUCCGGGAUAUUAACCUCCUGGGUACUACAGUUAACGCGUUAAGUAUCCCGCCUGGGGAGUACGGUCGCAAGGCUAAAACUCAAAGGAAUUGACGGGGGCCCGCACAAGCGGUGGAGUAUGUGGUUUAAUUCGAAGCAACGCGCAGAACCUUACCUACCCUUAACAUUUCACGACGUAUACAGAGAUGUAUAUUUCUCUUCGGAGACGUGAGGAUAGGUGCUGCAUGGCUGUCGUCAGCUCGUGUCGUAAGAUGUCUGGUUAAGUCCAAUAACGAGCGCAACCCUUAUCCUUAGUUACCAGCAUUAAGUUGGAACUCUAGAAAGACUGUCGGUUAUAAACCGGAGGAAGGCGGGGAUGACGUCAAGUCAGCAUGCCCCUUAUGCCCUGGGCUACACACGUGCUACAAUGGACGAGACAAUGAGUUACAAAUCUGCGAAGAUAAGUUAAUCUAUAAACUCGUUCUAAGUUCGGAUUGUAGGCUGCAACUCG
Molecule: ribosomal RNA, 521 nt
Filed under: uncultured bacterium
Lineage: Bacteria
Description: bacterial SSU rRNA
Rfam family: Bacterial small subunit ribosomal RNA
Source: RNAcentral